This 274-nucleotide ribosomal RNA is filed under the name uncultured bacterium. Its description in RNAcentral is "partial 16S ribosomal RNA". It matches the Rfam family "Bacterial small subunit ribosomal RNA", at positions 523 to 796 of the family's 1533-position model. The record is from RNAcentral.
AUACGGAGGGUCCGAGCGUUAUCCGGAAUCAUUGGGUUUAAAGGGUCCGUAGGCGGGAAUCUAAGUCAGUGGUGAAAUCUUGCAGCUCAACUGUAAAAUUGCCAUUGAUACUGGAUUUCUUGAAUUAGUGUGAAGUGGUUAGAAUGUGUAGUGUAGCGGUGAAAUGCAUAGAUAUUACACAGAAUACCAAUUGCGAAGGCAGAUCACUAACACUAUAUUGACGCUAAGGGACGAAAGCGUGGGGAGUGAACAGGAUUAGAAACCCCGGUAGUCC